UCAUCAUUUACACUAUCCACGCCUCCCUUUUACUGAACCGGAUUUUUUGUGUUCCAUGUGUUCUUCCUAACCCUAAUCAUUUCCUCAAAAUUUCUGCCGGUUCUCUUUCUUCUCUCCUUUGCUCUUAAUCAAUUGUAAAAUGUCUUCUCCUAAAUCAAAGAUCUACUUUUUUUCUACUCUUCACCUUCAUCGCAAUCUGACAGCUAUUUGGAGGUUCGAUUUCUGUUCAUUGAUUUCGAUUUAUUUGGGGUAAAAUCAUUGCAAUCUUGUGUUCCACAUAUACGAUAUUUUAUCUAGGGUUUCCACACAAUCCAAAAGCUAACCUGCUGUCGCAGAGCACCUCUUCAUCACUUUCAUUGGAGGUUUCAAAGACGGAGAUCCGCCACGUGUCUCGGAAAUGGAAGGGCAGUCCUGAACACACAAAGGUCUGGAUUGAGCCUAACAAACUUCGUAGGGUCGCUGUUGUUUACUACCUCUGCCGUAACGGCCAGCUUGAGCAUCCGCAUGUUGAUGUUUCUUUCUCCUGUUCUGAUAGACUGGAUCUUCGAGUUUGUUGAAAUUGUUAGAUGUAAUAGAUUGUAUAAAUUCUCUCCGAGGAAAAUGAAUGGCGGCAAUGUACUCGUGGUCUUCUAAACAGCUAUGUGACUUGCUGUAACGAUGAUGCUUUCGGAGUGGACGAUCUGUCAUGCGGCGCGGCUCAAAGGCUCCGAUGCUCAUGCUUUCGGAGUGGACGAUCGAUGUUCCAGAUCUAUCUAAACCGAUGUCGGAGAUAUCUCCGCUGAUUCUCCGCUUGUAUGCUUUUCAAUUGUUCAAUAAAUCGUAUUUCGUGUUAUAUAUCUAAUAGCAACUUGCUAUUUAAACUUUUUAAUUUACACGUGUAUCAACUAAUAGCAACUAAUUUUGGUUAACUUUUGGGCACUUAGUGAAUUAAUUUUAUUCCCAAGAGACCAAAAUAGUCAAAUGUAAACUGUAACAUCUUUGUUGUGCAGUGUGCGCAUAAUGAUGUUGAGUGUUGAUGAAUCAGGUUGUAGCAAAGAAGCAAACAAUUUCAUACCUGAAUGAUUUACUUGAAAAGGCUGAGAAGCCUGUGUUGGUCGA
Long non-coding RNA from Helianthus annuus (common sunflower), 1098 nucleotides. RefSeq lists it as uncharacterized. The record is from RefSeq and is a predicted model, not a curated record. The transcript has 4 exons. NCBI's taxonomy places the organism in Eukaryota, Viridiplantae, Streptophyta, Magnoliopsida, Asterales, Asteraceae.